This is a long non-coding RNA of Mya arenaria, 1876 nucleotides long. RefSeq lists it as uncharacterized. The transcript has 4 exons. The record is from RefSeq and is a predicted model, not a curated record. Lineage: Eukaryota; Metazoa; Mollusca; Bivalvia; Myida; Myidae.
GGUCUUGGGACGUUUUGACUGUCAUUUUAUACUUUCGAUUUCGGAUAUUUUAAGAAUUGUAUUGAUUGUCAAUGACUUUACAAGGAUACAUUGACGUCUUCUGCAUCGUGAGAAAUAAAGCCAUAGAAUACAUUCAUACCACUCAAAUUCAGCCAGUCAGAAUGAUGGGAAGGAUUGCAGAACUGAGUUUCACUCUCACCUGACUGAUGCAGAUUCAGUAACCUAAUUGCUCAUGAUGGUUUCUGAGAAAAAAACAGCUUGGUGUAAUUUGACAGUAUUUUUCAGUAUUUGACAGUGGUUCUAUCAUGCAACAGUCAUACCAUGAAGUGUCUCACAGAUUCUGUCUCAAUUCCUGCAAUAUCCAAGAUUACAGUGUAGUGCAAAGAGGAUUAAUUUUCUUGCAAUAAGAAGUAUCUGCACUUCCAAAGACCCCUGUACAGCAUGAACAGUUCCUUCAUUUUUUGAGUGAUUAUAGAGUGAAAAUGUUUCCAUAUAAAAUGUUUUCUUUUUAUGUGUAAAACUUGUCAUGAAAGGUUACAAAUACAUGCAUGGACAUUAUGAUUCCAAAUCUAUGCACAUUUUGAUUCCAAUAAUUAAAGUAUUUUAAAUUUGGUUUGAAACAGAAAUAUUGUCCUUAUGUUUGUUUCUAAACAUUAUCUGGUAUUAUUCGUGUUUAUAGUUUCCAUGUCAAUUUAAAAAAGUCGGUUCUUUUAAAGAUGCACUCUUACUCCCACAUAAGAUUUACCACAAUUAAUACUUUUGUUUUAUUAUUCCAAAAAGGAUGAAUAAAUGUUGAAAACAAUGGUUCUAAUGAAGGAUGCCUACUUCUACUUGAAGGAAAUGUGCAUAAAAGACAGUAUUUCUACCAUUUGAGAUCAUAGUAGAUCACAGUAAAUCUUUAUGCAUUCACCAAUCAUUUAAUGUCUUUGCUUUUUCAGCUUAAAUACACGGUUACAAUAUUUUUAUCAAUACUUAAUAUUUUCCAAAAAUGAAUUAUUAAGUAAGUUGUUAAAGGGUUAACAGUCAAAGUGUAUGUUUGUUAUACAUGUGUAUGCAUUGAUACUGAAUAAGAGUUUAAACAGUUGCCAUGGUAACUAUAGAGUCUAGUUUUCUUAAGAAACUGUAAUUGUUGUCUAAAAACCUUUGUAUUUUCAAUGUGAUACUUUUUAGCAUGUCCGCUUCAGUCAAUGAAAUAUUUCUGUUAUUUGUUAAUCAUUUGGUCAUACUUUGUAUACAAUUAUAUUUAUAAUUUAACCUUGAAAAUUGCUGGCAAUCUCAUACUUAUAUUGAAAUAUUCAGAAUUGCUAGAUGGGUUGAAGUUCACCUUUAUUACAACUGUCAGGCAAUCAUGGCAAGAUGUACAUAAUUCUCCUUUUUAACAAAAAGCGAUGUUUAAAGCAUUUUUUGUAUUUUUAUUGAAUGGUUACCAUGGCAACUAAUUUUUUGUUUGCCUUUAAUCUUCCUAUUUAUAAUACUAUUAAUUGUAAAAAUGCAACAGUCAAGCAGUGAAUGGAAGAAUGUAAAUGUUCUUCGUCUUUUACCUUUUUUAAGCUCAUUCUUCAAAAUAUUAAGCAAUUUUAAAAUUUCUUAAAAAUGGACGUUUUUUCAUCAUUUUUUUAAAGUAAAAUAAUUUGCUUAAAACUUUGUUUAGGUUCUGAUAUUUAGGAAUGGGUAUUAAAUUUAUAGAAAAUAAACAAAAUGUGUUGUUUGACAGUAUUUAUUUCAUUUAAAUUCCGAAGUUUUGAAUUUGACCUAUUUUGGCAGAAAAAUUGAUAAAACUGUAAAAUUAAAAGGGCCAUAAUUCUGUCAAAAAUUGAUGGAUUUUGAAAAAAUGUGCAUAUUUGAGUUUGUAAUGACAUAACCUUUAAAAUGAUAU